UAGUUGGAUGAUGACAGGAGGUAAAUCAGUUAUUAAUGAAUUUCCCAUUAAUGUUGUCCAAUCUUUUUUAAUUAGUUCUUUACAGUGGCGAACACUAUUUGCCCACAUCUCCGGAGUGUAAUGACCAAGAGCUUUAAGAGCUUUUUGCCAAGUCUCCUUGACACGACAGAUCUUUUUCUCCGAGCUGGACUGAACAUGUUUAUUGUAAUAAGUUUUUAAGAACGCCCAAUAUAGUUCAAUGGGAUUAUAUUGGCAAUUGUAUGGAGGAAGGCGAAGAACAGUAUGGCCAUGGUCUCUUAUUAAUUUGUCAAUUUCAAAGGAUUUUUCAAUUUGAGGCUUGUAAUAACGGAUUAUUUCCCAUAACGAUUUUUUAUUUAAGAAACUUGGAGCUUUCUCGAUUUGUUUUGAGUGAUAUGGAGCAUUAUCCAUUACUACCGCACACUUCGCACCCAAAUUAUUUAAUGCUGGAAGUAAUUGAUUUUUCACCCAUUCCAUAAAAAUAAUUGACGUCAUAUUUUUAUGAUAAUCUCUGUGCUCCGUGUUGUCACUGAGCAAGAGAUCGCAAUUUGGCAAAAACCCUGACGAAGUGCCUGCGUGCAAGAUUGUAAAUCUUUUUCCUUCGCCUUCUGCUCUUUGCGGAAUACCGAAUCUUUCAUUUUCAUUUACCCAUUGAUAAACUUGGGUGCCAUUUUCGUAAA
Non-coding RNA from Onthophagus taurus, 698 nucleotides. Lineage: Eukaryota; Metazoa; Arthropoda; Insecta; Coleoptera; Scarabaeidae. The record is from RefSeq and is a predicted model, not a curated record.